This 395-nucleotide ribosomal RNA is filed under the name uncultured bacterium. RNAcentral describes it as "bacterial SSU rRNA". It matches the Rfam family "Bacterial small subunit ribosomal RNA", at positions 29 to 428 of the family's 1533-position model. The record is from RNAcentral.
AUUGAACGCUGGCGGCAUGCUUUACACAUGCAAGUCGCACGGCAGCACGGGGGCAACCCUGGUGGCGAGUGGCGAACGGGUGAGUAACACAUCGGAACGUGUCCAGUUGUGGGGGAUAACCCAUCGAAAGGUGGGCUAAUACCGCAUGAGCUGGCAACAGGAAAGCGGGGGACCCGCAAGGGCCUUGUGCGAUUGGAGCGGCCGAUGUCCGAUUAGCUAGUUGGUGGGGAAAGGCCUACCAAGGCUUCGAUCGGUAGCUGGUCUGAGAGGAUGAUCAGCCACACUGGGACUGAGACACGGCCCAGACUCCUACGGGAGGCAGCAGUGGGGAAUUUUGGACAAUGGGGGCAACCCUGAUCCAGCCAUGCCGCGUGAGUGAAGAAGGCCUGGUGUAA